This 84-nucleotide transfer RNA is filed under the name Acetobacter senegalensis. RNAcentral's name for it is "tRNA-OTHER". It matches the Rfam family "tRNA". From Rfam's summary of the family: Transfer RNA (tRNA) molecules are approximately 80 nucleotides in length. The record is from RNAcentral. Lineage: Bacteria; Pseudomonadati; Pseudomonadota; Alphaproteobacteria; Acetobacterales; Acetobacteraceae.
AGGCGCAUAGUUCAGCCUGGUAGAACAGUCCUUUACCGUCGAUGAGCAACCAUCUGGCAGGUUCAAAUCCUGCUGUGCCUCCCC